ACGUGAUUGUCAAAUUUUGUGUCAAUAUGACAAAGCGUAUAGGCGUGAAUCUCAACAAUAUGUAUUUUCACCUUAGGGGACAAGAAAAAAUGGACUUUUUUCUCCUGCCAUGGGGGGGCACUCUUUUGGGGAGUAAAAAUUCCUUCACAAAUGUGUUGAUGGCUGGACAUUGCAUCAUCCUAGAAAACUUGGAGGCCAGUGAGGACAAAAAUAAAAAGUUAUAAGACUUUUAAAUAUGUGGAUUUUAGGGUUAUCUUUGGCGCCCCCUAGAACCUAAACCGUGGGG
Xyrichtys novacula (pearly razorfish) is the source of this 286-nucleotide non-coding RNA. Lineage: Eukaryota; Metazoa; Chordata; Actinopteri; Labriformes; Labridae. The record is from the annotation of a GenBank genome assembly.